CCUACGGGCGGCAGCAGUGAGGAAUCUUGGUCAAUGGGCGCGAGCCUGAACCAGCCAAGUCGCGUGAGGGAAGACGGUCCUAUGGAUUGUAAACCUCUUUUGUCGGGGAGCAAAAGACGCACCGCGUGGCGUUCCGAGAGUACCCGAAGCAAACGCAUCGGCUAACUCCGUGCCAGCAGCCGCGGUAAUACGGAGGAUGCGAGCGUUAUCCGGAUUUAGUGGGUUUAAAGGGUGCGCAGGCGGAAGAUGAAGUCAGCGGUAAAAUUGAGAGGCUUAACCUCUUCGAGCCGUUGAAACUGGUUUUCUUGAGUGAGUGAGAAGUAUGCGGAAUGCGUGGUGUAGCGGUGAAAUGCAUAGAUAUCACGCAGAACUCCGAUUGCGAAGGCAGCAUACCGGCGCUCAACUGACGCUCAUGCACGAAAGUGUGGGUAUCGAACAGGAUUAGAUACCCUUGUAGUC
RNAcentral lists this ribosomal RNA (459 nucleotides) under uncultured bacterium. Its description in RNAcentral is "partial 16S ribosomal RNA". It matches the Rfam family "Bacterial small subunit ribosomal RNA", at positions 338 to 795 of the family's 1533-position model. The record is from RNAcentral.